UACGUAGGGCGCGAGCGUUGUCCGGAAUUAUUGGGCGUAAAGGGCUCGUAGGCGGUUUGUCGCGUCGGGAGUGAAAACACCGGGCUUAACUCGGUGCUGGCUUUCGAUACGGGCAGACUAGAGGUAUGCAGGGGAGAACGGAAUUCCUGGUGUAGCGGUGAAAUGCGCAGAUAUCAGGAGGAACACCGGUGGCGAAGGCGGUUCUCUGGGCAUGAUCUGACGCUGAGGAGCGAAAGUGUGGGGAGCGAACAGG
This 253-nucleotide ribosomal RNA is filed under the name uncultured bacterium. RNAcentral's name for it is "partial 16S ribosomal RNA". It matches the Rfam family "Bacterial small subunit ribosomal RNA", at positions 524 to 776 of the family's 1533-position model. The record is from RNAcentral.